This 169-nucleotide ribosomal RNA is filed under the name Micropterus salmoides (largemouth bass). Its description in RNAcentral is "partial 12S rRNA". The record is from RNAcentral. Lineage: Eukaryota; Metazoa; Chordata; Actinopteri; Centrarchiformes; Centrarchidae.
CACCGCGGUUAUACGAGAGGCCCAAGUUGACAAACCCCGGCGUAAAGAGUGGUUAAGAAAAAUUUAAAACUAAAGCCGAAUGCCCUCAAAGCUGUUAUACGCACCCGAAGGUAAGAAGCCCAAUCACGAAAGUGGCUUUACAUUUCCCGAACCCACGAAAGCUAUGAAA